CAGAGAGUCCUCUACUGGGAUGUCAUGCAUGAGAACUAUGAGACUGUGACCUCGCUGGGGUUUCUAGUUUUCCAACUUGAUGUGAUCUCCCAGCUGGAACAAGGGGAAGAGCCAUGCGUCCCAGACCUCCAAGGUUCAGAAGAAGAGAGAUCCUGAGAUCUCCCUGCACAGUAGGGUUUCCAAAUUCCAAACCUGAUGUGAUCUCGCAGCUGGAACGAGGGGAAG
Molecule: long non-coding RNA, 225 nt
Organism: Mauremys reevesii (Reeves's turtle)
Lineage: Eukaryota; Metazoa; Chordata; Testudines; Geoemydidae
Exons: 3
Source: RefSeq, a predicted model, not a curated record